CGCACCGCUAGUGUACCAGUUGUCCUGCCAAGGGCACCGCUGGGUAGCUAUGUGCGGAAGGGAUAACCGCUGAAAGCAUCUAAGUGGGAAACCCGCCCUGAGAUGAGGUAUCCCGGGGAUUUAAUCCCCCUGAAGGGCCCUCGUAGACUACGAGGUUGAUAGGCCGGGUGUGUAAGCGCAGCGAUGCGUUUAGCUAACCGGUACUAAUUGCCCGUGAGGCUUGACCAC
RNAcentral lists this ribosomal RNA (228 nucleotides) under Deltaproteobacteria bacterium. Its description in RNAcentral is "partial 23S ribosomal RNA". It matches the Rfam family "Bacterial large subunit ribosomal RNA", at positions 2702 to 2925 of the family's 2925-position model. Lineage: Bacteria; Pseudomonadati; Myxococcota; Myxococcia. The record is from RNAcentral.